UCAGUAUGCGGGUCCCCAUUUCCUCUGAAAGAGGAUUAUAAUUAUCUGACAUAUCAGUUAUUUUAGCUGAAAUUGAGGUCUUCAUCUGUUGCAAACAAAUUUGCAUCACCGUCAAGGCAUGAAAAUUAAAAUGGCUGUCAACAUGGUUCUCACAAUAGUUGCAUAGCUCAGGCAAAAUCCUAUCAUACAAAAUUGUCUUAACAGAGCC
This 208-nucleotide unclassified non-coding RNA is filed under the name Hevea brasiliensis (rubber tree). The record is from RNAcentral. Lineage: Eukaryota; Viridiplantae; Streptophyta; Magnoliopsida; Malpighiales; Euphorbiaceae.